AGUCGACGCGAACGGAGGUCUUCGGAUCUCCUAUUAGAGUGGCGAACGGGUGCGUAACGCGUAGGCAAUCUGCCCUCGAGUGGGGAAUAAGCCCGGGAAACUGGGUCUAAUACCGCAUUCGGUCCGGAGGUCGCAUGGCCCCCGGAUUAAAGCCUUCGGGCGCUUGAGGAUGAACCUGCGUCCUAUUAGCUUGUUGGCGGGGUAACGGCCCACCAAGGCGACGAUGGGUAGCUGGUCUGAGAGGACGACCAGCCACACUGGGACUGAGAUACGGCCCAGACUCCUACGGGAGGCAGCAGUGAGGAAUAUUGCGCAAUGGAGGAAACUCUGACGCAGCGACGCCGCGUGUGCGAUGAAGCCUUUCGGGGUGUAAAGCACUGUUCUGAGGGAAGAAUGCCCCUAUUUAUAGGGGAAAGACGGUACCUUAGAAGAAAGCACCGGCUAACUCCGUGCCAGCAGCCGCGGUAAUACGGAGGGUGCAAGCGUUGUCCGGAUUUACUGGGCGUAAAGGGCGUGUAGGCGGGGCGGUAAGUCGUUGGUGAAAGGUGCAUGGCUUAACCUGCACAUUGCCUUCGAUACUGCCGCUCUUGAGUGCAGGAGAGGAUAGUGGAAUUCUCGGUGUAGCGGUGGAAUGCGCAGAUAUCGAGAGGAACACCCGUGGCGAAAGCGGCUAUCUGGCCUGACACUGACGCUAACGCGCGAAAGCAUGGGGAGCAAACAGGAUUA
RNAcentral lists this ribosomal RNA (726 nucleotides) under uncultured bacterium. RNAcentral's name for it is "bacterial SSU rRNA". It matches the Rfam family "Bacterial small subunit ribosomal RNA", at positions 60 to 780 of the family's 1533-position model. The record is from RNAcentral.